AACUAACGCUGGCGGCGCGCCUAAUACAUGCAAGUCGAACGAUGUAGCAAUACAUAGUGGCGCACGGGAGAGUAACACGUGGAUAAUCUCCCCUCGAGAGAGGAAUAACUAGUCGAAAGAUUGGCUAAUACUUCAUAAGACCACAGAAACUAAUGUUUUAGGGGUAAAAGUCGUAAGACGCUUGAGGAUGAGUCUGCGUCCCAUUAGCUAGUUGGUGAGGUAACGGCUCACCAAGGCGACGAUGGGUAGCUGGUCUGAGAGGAUGAUCAGCCUCACUGGAACUGACACACGGUCCAGACUCCUACGGGAGGCAGCAGUAGGGAAUAUUGCACAAUGGGCGAAAGCCUGAUGCAGCGACGCCGCGUGAGUGAUGAAGGACUUCGGUUUGUAAAGCUCUGUUGUCAGGGAAUAAGAAAGUGAAUGUACCAUGCAAGAAAGGAUACGGGCUAAACUUCGUGCCAGCAGCCGCGGU
This 472-nucleotide ribosomal RNA is filed under the name uncultured bacterium. Its description in RNAcentral is "bacterial SSU rRNA". It matches the Rfam family "Bacterial small subunit ribosomal RNA", at positions 29 to 521 of the family's 1533-position model. The record is from RNAcentral.